Molecule: small RNA, 610 nt
Filed under: Pongo abelii (Sumatran orangutan)
Lineage: Eukaryota; Metazoa; Chordata; Mammalia; Primates; Hominidae
Description: processed transcript
Source: RNAcentral
CUCAGGCCUCUCCAUCCGAGAGACGGCAGAAGGGCAAACGUCUCCUGCUGGCACAAGGAAGUCAUAACUCAUGCGAGUGGAGUCAUGCGGGAUUAAGAAGUGACAGGAGAGCUUGCUGUCAGUCUCUGCCCUCCACUGUGUGAGGAUACAACAGGAAGACAGCCAUCUGGUGAAGAGAGGGCCCUCGCCAGAUACCGGACCUGCUGACACCUUGAUCUUGGAUUUCUCAUCUUCCAGGACGGUAAGAAAUAAAUGCUUGGUGUUUCAGCCACCUUGUCUAUUCUGUUGUAGCAGCCUGAACUGGCUAAGGUAGCAGGGUCUGAUGAUCAAAUGGAACAGCUGUAAAAGUGAGGCAGGAAGGGGGUCUACAGAUACUAAGUUUUAUGAGGAAAACUUGUGCUUGAUUUGACAAAAUGACACAAAAUUUUGUUCUAAGAAAAAUUUUCAGAAUUCGAAACUUAGAGCCCUAAGACUUUUCCCAAUGAUAGACUUGGCUUUCCUUGAGGUCUUGGCCCCAGUGGGACUGCUGGAGUCUAUUAUAAAACUCAUCUGGAAGGGCCUCUGCCAUUGCUGAGGCUUGAGUAAAUGGUUUUAAGGUCACAGUGUAAAC